Molecule: ribosomal RNA, 469 nt
Filed under: uncultured bacterium
Lineage: Bacteria
Description: bacterial SSU rRNA
Rfam family: Bacterial small subunit ribosomal RNA
Source: RNAcentral
GACGAACGCUGGCGGCGUGCCUAACACAUGCAAGUCGAACGGGGUGAAGAGAGCUUGCUUUCUUUACUUAGUGGCGAACGGGUGAGUAACGCGUGAGAAACCUGCCUUUCAGUGGGGGACAACAGUUGGAAACGACUGCUAAUACCGCAUAAUGUAUUUUUGGGGCAUCCCUUUAAUACCAAAGGAUUUAUUCGCUGAAGGAUGGGCUCGCGUCCGAUUAGGUAGUUGGUGAGGUAACGGCCCACCAAGGCGACGAUCAGUAGCCGGACUGAGAGGUUGAACGGCCACAUUGGGACUGAGAUACGGCCCAGACUCCUACGGGAGGCAGCAGUGGGGAAUAUUGGGGCAAUGGGCGCAAGCCUGACCCAGCAAUGCCGCGUGAAGGAAGAAGGCUUUCGGGUUGUAAACUUCUUUUGUCAGGGACGAGUAGAAGACGGUACCUGACGAAUAAGCCACGGCUAACUACGUG